AACGAACGCUGGCGGCGUGCCUAACACAUGCAAGUCGAACGAGAAAGGGGCUUCGGCUCCGAGUAAAGUGGCGCACGGGUGAGUAACACGUGGGUAACCUGCCUCUAAGAUUGUGAUAACUCGUCGAAAGAUGAGCUAAUACCGAAUAAGACCACAGUUCCCUCGGGAACAGGGGUCACAGGUAGCCUCUGCUUGCAAGCUAUCACUUAGAUAUUGGCCUGCGCACCAUUAGCUAGUUGGUAGGGUAACGGCCUACCAAGGCAAGGAUGGUUAGCUGGUCUGAGAGGAUGAUCAGCCACACUGGAACUGGGACACGGUCCAGACGCCUACGGGAGGCAGCAGUGGGGAAUAUUGCGCAAGGGGCGAGAGCUUGACGCAGCAACGCCGCGUGAGUGAUGAAGGCCGUCGGGUCGUAAAGCUCUGUCGGGAGGAACGAAUGCUCCUGAGGUUAACAGCCUCGGGAGGUGACGGUACCUUCAAAGGAAGCACCGGCUAACUCUGUG
This 503-nucleotide ribosomal RNA is filed under the name uncultured bacterium. Its description in RNAcentral is "partial 16S ribosomal RNA". It matches the Rfam family "Bacterial small subunit ribosomal RNA", at positions 29 to 507 of the family's 1533-position model. The record is from RNAcentral.